CCUUUGAAGAAGCCUGUUCAGGGGUCCACCCCUCAGAGUUCAGGUUUCACUGAUUUCCACCCGCGCCGGACGGUUCUGUGCCACGGCUCUGCAAACGCUUUGUAACAGGGUCACAGCCAGAAGAGUCCAGAAAUGUGGAGUGAACACUUAGAGACAUUUACAGCAACGUGACCAUAUCUGUGGAAUCUGAUUACGAGAAACCAAAGCUUGUAUUGUGUAUGUCUUUGUACUUCUCUUCAUGUUGUUCUUCCAGAAAUUCAUUUGUGUUGCAUUUUACAAAAAAGUGUCCACAUGGUCUUUGACCACAGUGUGGGCCAAAUGACCAGUUUGUAAAUUAGCACAGUGACACCUGCAGCUCUCAGCCGUGGAUUCUGAUCUCCUGGAAGGAGGAUUCUCUGUCCUGACCACAAAGGCGAGCUUCCAGAAACCCAGGACUUCCCUGAGCUUGCGAGAACCUGCUGAUGAAUAGUGGCCAAGCCAGUCCUGCGAUGUCAUCCUUCCCUGUCAUGUGCCCCAGAAGAGGCUGUGGGGGGAGGAGAGGACCUUUGGUCCUCACCCACCUCUUAUAAGGGAAACUACCAACAUCUAAAAACAUGAACCUGAAAUGUAUCACUCAACAAAGAGGACCCAGCUUCUCCCAUAGGCUGAGAUGCUGACUCAGUUCUGUUGCAGAGAAAAUAAGAAGGCAGAGGAACAGACCGUCUUGCGCCCAGAGACUUUAACAACCAGCCUGGGGGCGGUGAGGAAGCACUGAUGUGUAGGGUGUGGCCAUCACCAUGGUGACAGUGCUCCCACAGUGGCCAUCCCUGGGAAAGAGGUGAAGCGGCUCAGCUUCACAAGCAUUUCUACCACACGGAUACGACACCCCUCAACAGCCCCAAGGGCACAGGUCAUCGUAAAAUGUAGGAAAAUAAUUCCUGAUGAGAGGCACUUACUUGCUCCUUCUCUUCAACUUGCCCCGGACACCAGGAAGUUAAUCGUUCCCCUAAAAGACAGCUGACUGGUUGUUGGAUAGAUGGAACCAAGUGAAUCUAUCAGUAUGGAAAAACAUCCCUUCACAAUAAUUCAACUUUGAGAAUGAGGAUGGGAGAUGACCCUUCCCUCGGUUCCAGUUUCAUUACCCAGGAAGCAGAACUGACUACAACAAGCCUUCCAGCUCCCCGCCAGACGCGGAUGCCUCCAAUACCAUCUGUUCUUUCCGUAUUGCCAUCACCUGCUUGGAAAUGGCGCUUUUUAGAGGGACUUUUUUUUAGUGUUGUUGGCUGGAUCUUCAGCAAGAAAACUCAAGUUGAACACAAGAUCGCCCCGUGUCCGGGUGACCUUCCAGUAUCCUGGCCGGUCAGCCUGGAACAAGCAAGCCUCUGCAGUGUGCUACCCUAGAAGAGAUGUUGUUGGCUAGAAUUUCAGCAAGAAAACUCAGCAACUUUUGGAGCGCCACCUAUUCUCCCUCUCUCUCUCUCUCUGGUUUCUUUUUCUUGUCUUCACUUAUUCAAUUAAAGUGUACUGCACUUUUAUUUAGUUAUGCCAAAAUAAAUGGAAAGAAAAUCCUGAAGCAGGAGAUGAAUGUAAACUGGGAAAAUCUUGCAAAAUCACAAAAUAAUUCUUGGUGCUUCCAGAGACAGAAGAAAGCACUGAAACAGACCCACUCUCUCUGUAGGAGUGUGAAAGUUGACAACCUCUGGAAUUAAAGAUGACAUUUGCUGCCUCUUAUUUCUUAGAUUCCAAAUGGUAUUGUCGACUGUAAUAUGAACUUGAUCUCUUUUUAACUGGUAUCAUGAAUACAAUCCAUUGGCCAAAGAAAAAAUAAGAGUGUGUUUGCUAUCAAGAGACUAGUAAUGCUACCUGACAUGAGUACACGUGCUUUUCAGUUUCCAAAACCUAUUCAUAAACAUCGUCUCAUUUGAUGCUCACAGCAAUUUUGUGGGAUCCACAGAAACAGCCUCAAUGUGUAGGAGGAAAGUUUCAAUUAAUCAUCUCUAUGAGGGCAGCAGCAAGCUUAGAGGACAACAGUGUUUAUCAGGGUUAAAAGUAAAAUAAUGGGUCAAAUAAAAAUAAACUUCAUCCAUGAAAGAAGGAAUUGAUAAGGUGGACUUCAUUCAAAUUAAAAACUUCUGCUCUGCAAAGGACAAAUAUAUGUCAAGAGAACAAGACAGGCCACAGAUUGAGAAAAAAAUAUUUGUAAAAGAUAUAUCUGACAAAGGACUGUUACCCAAAAUAUACAAAGAACUCUUAAGAUUCAACAGUAAGAAAAUGAACAACUGAUUUAAAAAUAGGCCACAGCCCUUAACAGACACCUCACCAAAGAAGGUACACAGAUGGCUAAUAAUCAUAUGAAAAGAUGCUCCAUAUCAUAUAUCAUCAGGGAAAUGCUAAUUAGAACAACAGUGAGAUACCACCAUCCACCUGUUAGAAUGACCAAAUUCCAGAACACUGACAAGGCCAAAUUCUGGUGAAGAUAUGGGGCGACGGGAACUCUCAUUCACCUCUGGUGGGAAUGCAAAAUGGUGCAGCCACUUUGCAAGACAGUUUGGUGGUUUCUUACAAAACUAAACAUACUCUUACCAUAUGAUCCAACAACCUUGCUCCUUGGUUUACCCAAAGCAGAUAAAAAAAGUACGCCCACACAAAAACCUCCAUGUGGAUGUUGAUAGCAGCUUUACGCAUAAACUCAUAAUUGCAAAACUUGGAAGCAAACAAGAUGGCCUUCAGUAGAUGAAUGGAUAAAUUGUCAUCCAUCUGGAUAAUGGAAUAUUAUUCAGCGCUAAAAAAAGAAAUGAGCUAAAAAAAGACAUGGAGGAAUCUUAAAUACAUAUUACUAAGUGGAAGAAGCCAAUCUGAAAAGUCUAUGUACUGUAUGAUUCCAACUAUACAACAUUCUGGAAAAGGCAAAACUAUAGUAAAAAGAUCAGUAGUUGUCGGGUUAAGGGAGAGUUAGGGAUAAAAAGGGGAAUUAAGCACAUAGGAUUUUUAGGGCAGUAAAACUACUGUGUAUGAUACUAUCAUGCUGGGUCCACAUCAUCAUACAUUUGUCGAAAGUGAUAGGAUGUGGGCUUCCCUGGUGGCGCAGUGGUUAAGAAUCUGCCUGCCAAUGCAGGGGACACGGGUUCAAGCCCUGGUCCGGGAAGAUCCCACAUGCCACGGAGCAACUAAGCCCGUGAGCCACAACUACUGAGCCUGCGCUCUAGAGCCCGCGUGCCACAAUUACUGAAGCCCGCGUGCCUAGAGCCCGUGCUUCACAACAAGAGAAGCCACGGCCAUGAGAAGCCCGCGCACCGCAACGAAGAAUAGCCCCCGCUCACUGCAACUAGAGAAAGCACACACGCAGCAACGAAGACCCAACGCAGCCAAAAAUAAAGUAAAUAAUUUUUUUUAAAAAAGUGAUAGGACGUACAACACUAAGAAUGAAACUUAAUGUAAACUAUGGACUUUAGGUGAUGAUGAUGUAUUGGUGCAGGUCCAUAGAUUGUAACAAAGGUGCCACCCUGGUGGAAAUGUUGAAGGAGGUUGUGCAUGUGAGGGAGCGGGGGUGGUAUAUGGGACCUCUCUGUACUUGCCUCUCAGUCUUGCUGUGAACUGAAAACUUCUCUAAAAAGUAAAGUUAUUAAUUUAAAAAGUAAAUGACAAUAAAAAGCCUCAAGACUUAACAUUUCAGUUAAGAGAUUUUAAUCGCAAUACAGGAUGGGUUCCAUUUUAGUGUUCUGCAAGCAUCAAAUUUAACAAGUCGAUCUUUUUCUAAUCCCUUACAGAAAACCCUGAGUAGAAAUCAGAAUUCAGUUGACAGGUCAGUGCAAGUUGAAACCCCGAAUGGCAGGGCAGCUUAAGUGUUUUACACAUGUGUCAAAAGAUCAGCCGAUAGAGUCUUGGUCCUCUGCCCAGCACAGCAAUGACAGUGGCAUUAUCAGUGGAACUGAUUUGGGAUCGUCUUUUCAUUCCAGACAUAUGAAUCACUCUAGGUAUUGGAAUAACAGCACAGUGGCUUCUCCCAAAGGAAAGGAUUGCAGGAUGCCUCCACACAUAGACAAUAAGAUCGGAAAUACUCAGUUACACAUACAUGGAAAACAGCGAUCUUAUCUUGCAGUAUCUCUUUGAGAAGCCCAGGAUAGACAGGAGAGAACCUGCAGGUGUUCUUUCACUUAGAAGAUGAAUGUGAUAAAAUGCACAUUUCAUGGAAGGUAUAUGUGUCACCUGUCCCAGAAUGUGUUGGUUCUAGUCUGAAAUGCAUGCUUAAUUAUCCCAACCAUUUAAAAGCUUCAGCAUUGCAGAUGGUCAGAAAAUUGCCUGUGACCCACGUUUAGCCUCUCUCUCUCUCUUAACCUCUUCUGGCACAGUGAGAGCUGUAGGAUCACAGAUCAUUUAUACAUGCUUCAACCCCAUCAAACUUAUUACUCACUUUAUUUAGACUAUAUCUCAUUUUAAAAUUUUUAGAUGUUUCUUAUUUAGAGUAUACGUUUUCCCAUUCUCUUGGUUUAAUUAAUUUAUAGGUGAAAAUUGAGCUAGACUUUUUAAUUUUUUCAAACAAUUGCUUUUCUCUCUGAAAUAUUCUCUCUUGGAUAAUUCUUAUUAUUUCCUUCAGCACAACACAGGCAUCACUGUACCAGGAGGGCUUCCAAAACUCCUUCUGAGCGCAAACGUCUCUUACAUUCUCUUCUGUCCGGUUUAACUAGCCAAGAUUUUGCCUCUCGCCUCCUGGAUGUGAGGAACUGGAGGGUUGGGAUCCGGUAUGGUUAUCAGCACAGAAGAGAUGCUCUUAAAUGUUUAAUGAAUAAAGUAUGAAUAAAUGAUGGGAACAAGUUCUUGUUUCUUCAACAGAAUUCAGACCAUACAAGUUGAAAAAUUUCAUGUAGAUCAGUUUCUUUAGAUGUAGAGGGAUGUAUCUACCAGCUCAAGGGUUCUCAAGCUUAAGUAAUAUAUCAAACACUUUUUCUCACCACGAUUAGACUUAAAAUAUCUAGAAAGUUACAAAAUGGGUACAAUAAACACCGAAAGUCCUGCCACUUACAAUUUUAACUUAACAUUUUAUUGUAUUUUAUUCUGGGUUUUUUCAAAAUAUCGAUACAAGCAGAGGUCCCUUUCAACAGGUAUAUGGUGCCAAUCACGGGCCUCCUGCCUUUCUGCUCCACAGUCACCCUUUUUUGCCUGCUCUGCGAAAAUAGGGGUGGGUCCUUUAAAGAUUUUUCCUUUGCCAGCUGGAGCAAUGCUAAGUUUUGUCAGUAGAGGGCGCAGGAGGACAGGGUUUGCCUCCUAGUUCCGGUGUCUCCCUCAGCCCAGCAGACAUCCCCAGGUCAGGCUCCUCUGGAGCCGGUGGCUGGCCCAGGACCCGGCUUCCCCAGAGCUCACGGCUCCUCCACUGCUCUGCAUGCAGUACCUGGCAGCCAGCAGCUUCAGUGGCAGCAGCGUACCGCCCUCUCCCCCGGCCCCCUUGGGCGGUUUCGUAGCCCCGUGCUUCCCCGUGACCACCCUUCCCCGGCA
Long non-coding RNA from Physeter macrocephalus (sperm whale), 5469 nucleotides. RefSeq lists it as uncharacterized. NCBI's taxonomy places the organism in Eukaryota, Metazoa, Chordata, Mammalia, Artiodactyla, Physeteridae. The transcript has 5 exons. The record is from RefSeq and is a predicted model, not a curated record.